Molecule: ribosomal RNA, 459 nt
Filed under: uncultured bacterium
Lineage: Bacteria
Description: partial 16S ribosomal RNA
Rfam family: Bacterial small subunit ribosomal RNA
Source: RNAcentral
CCUACGGGUGGCAGCAGUGAGGAAUAUUGGUCAAUGGCCGGAAGGCUGAACCAGCCAAGCCGCGUGAAGGACGAAGGUGCCAAGCAUUGUAAACUUCUUUUGUCAAGGGACAAAAUCAGGCUCGAGAGCCUGACCGGCGGUACUUGAAGAAAAAGCAUCGGCUAACUUCGUGCCAGCAGCCGCGGUAAUACGGGGGAUGCGGGCGUUAGCCGGGUUUAUUGGGGUUAAAGGGGGCGUAGGCGGGCUUUUAAGUCAGCGGUAAAAGCCCGGGGCUCAACCCCGGCGAGCCGUUGAAACUGGCUGUCUUGAGAUGUCGAGAGGUAUGCGGAAUGCGCAGUGUAGCGGUGAAAUGCUUAGAUAUUGCGCAGAACUCCGAUUGCGAAGGCAGCAUACCGGCGGCGAUCUGACGCUGAGGCACGAAAGCGUGGGUAUCGAACAGGAUUAGAUACCCUUGUAGUC